AAAAAAGGUAAGCUACUAAGAGCGAAUGGUGGAUGCCUUGACUGGUAAAGGCGAUGAAGGACGUACUAGACUGCGAUAAGCUACGGGGAGCUGUCAAGAAGCUUUGAUCCGUAGAUUUCCGAAUGGGGCAACCCAAUGUAUAGAGAUAUACAUUACCUAUAUAGGAGCGAACGAGGGGAAUUGAAACAUCUUAGUACCCUCAGGAAAAGAAAUCAAUAGAGAUUGCGUCAGUAGCGGCGAGCGAAAGCGCAAGAGGGCAAACCCAGUGCUUGCACUGGGGGUUGUAGGACUGCAAUGUGCAAGAGGUGAGUUUAGCAGAACAUUCUGGAAAGUAUAGCCAUAGAGGGUGAUAGUCCCGUAUGCGAAAAACAAACCUUAGCUAGCAGUAUCCUGAGUAGGGCGGGACACGAGAAAUCCUGUCUGAAGCUGGGUCGACCACGAUCCAACCCUAAAUACUAAUACCAGAUCGAUAGUGCACAAGUACCGUGAGGGAAAGGUGAAAAGAACUGAGGUGAUCAGAGUGAAAUAGAACCUGAAACCAUUUGCUUACAAUCAUUCAGAGCCCUAUGUAGCAAUACAGGGUGAUGGACUGCCUUUUGCAUAAUGAGCCUGCGAGUUGUGGUGUCUGGCAAGGUUAAGCAAACGCGAAGCCGUAGCGAAAGCGAGUCUGAAUAGGGCGCUUAGUCAGAUGCUGCAGACCCGAAACGAAGUGAUCUAUCCAUGAGCAAGUUGAAGCUAGUGUAAGAACUAGUGGAGGACUGAACCCAUAGGCGUUGAAAAGCCCCGGGAUGACUUGUGGAUAGGGGUGAAAGGCCAAUCAAACUUCGUGAUAGCUGGUUCUCUCCGAAAUAUAUUUAGGUAUAGCGUUGUGUCGUAAUAUAAGGGGGUAGAGCACUGAAUGGGCUAGGGCAUACACCAAUGUACCAAACCCUAUCAAACUCCGAAUACCUUAUAUGUAAUCACAGCAGUCAGGCGGCGAGUGAUAAAAUCCGUCGUCAAGAGGGAAACAACCCAGACUACCAGCUAAGGUCCCUAAAUCUUACUUAAGUGGAAAACGAUGUGAAGUUACUUAAACAACCAGGAGGUUGGCUUAGAAGCAGCCAUCCUUUAAAGAAAGCGUAAUAGCUCACUGGUCUAGUGAUUUUGCGCGGAAAAUAUAACGGGGCUAAAGUAAGUACCGAAGCUGUAGACUUGCGCACAACUUAGAUUAUUUAAGUUUAGAAUAUGAGAAACUAAGUUAUAUGUUUAGUUAUAUUUUUACUGAUUUUUAUAGAGUAAAGAUAGAAAUAAAACUUAGUAAAAUCAGUAAAAAUAUUCUUAGACUAAAGUUAAGUAGUUUAAGUUGUGUGCAAGUGGUAGGAGAGCGUUCUAUUUGCGUCGAAGGUAUACCGGUAAGGAGUGCUGGAGCGAAUAGAAGUGAGCAUGCAGGCAUGAGUAGCGAUAAUUAAUGUGAGAAUCAUUAACGCCGUAAACCCAAGGUUUCCUACGCGAUGCUCGUCAUCGUAGGGUUAGUCGGGUCCUAAGUCGAGUCCGAAAGGGGUAGACGAUGGCAAAUUGGUUAAUAUUCCAAUACCAACAUUAGUGUGCGAUGGAAGGACGCUUAGGGCUAAGGGGGCUAGCGGAUGGAAGUGCUAGUCUAAGGUCGUAGGAGGUUAUACAGGCAAAUCCGUAUAACAAUACUCCGAGAACUGAAAGGCUUUUUGAAGUCUUCGGAUGGAUAGAAGAACCCCUGAUGCCAUCGAGCCAAGAAAAGUUUCUAAGUUUAGCUAAUGUUGCCCGUACCGUAAACCGACACAGGUGGGUGGGAUGAGUAUUCUAAGGCGCGUGGAAGAACUCUCUUUAAGGAACUCUGCAAAAUAGCACCGUAUCUUCGGUAU
This 1877-nucleotide ribosomal RNA is filed under the name Campylobacter coli. Its description in RNAcentral is "partial 23S ribosomal RNA". It matches the Rfam family "Bacterial large subunit ribosomal RNA", at positions 1 to 1742 of the family's 2925-position model. Lineage: Bacteria; Pseudomonadati; Campylobacterota; Epsilonproteobacteria; Campylobacterales; Campylobacteraceae. The record is from RNAcentral.